AAGCUUUGAUGGUGAAGCCAAAAU
RNAcentral lists this non-coding RNA (24 nucleotides) under Arabidopsis thaliana (thale cress). Lineage: Eukaryota; Viridiplantae; Streptophyta; Magnoliopsida; Brassicales; Brassicaceae. The record is from RNAcentral.